AUCUUUCUAGUAUAANCAAUAUAAGUGACUUCCAAUCACCCGAUCUUGGUUAGAAUCCAAGGAAAGAUA
RNAcentral lists this transfer RNA (69 nucleotides) under Chaenogobius annularis (forktongue goby). RNAcentral's name for it is "tRNA-Gly". It matches the Rfam family "tRNA". From Rfam's summary of the family: Transfer RNA (tRNA) molecules are approximately 80 nucleotides in length. Their secondary structure includes four short double-helical elements and three loops (D, anti-codon, and T loops). Lineage: Eukaryota; Metazoa; Chordata; Actinopteri; Gobiiformes; Gobiidae. The record is from RNAcentral.